GGGGUUGUGGCUCAGCGGUAGAGCGCUCAUCUAGCGUGCGUGAAGCCCUGGGUUCGAUCCUCAGCACCACA
Molecule: transfer RNA, 71 nt
Filed under: Marmota monax (woodchuck)
Lineage: Eukaryota; Metazoa; Chordata; Mammalia; Rodentia; Sciuridae
Description: tRNA.Ala
Source: RNAcentral